RNAcentral lists this unclassified non-coding RNA (336 nucleotides) under soil metagenome. RNAcentral describes it as "partial contains 5.8S ribosomal RNA, internal transcribed spacer 2, and large subunit ribosomal RNA". The stretch from base 1 to 120 matches the Rfam family "5.8S ribosomal RNA", at positions 35 to 154 of the family's 154-position model. The record is from RNAcentral.
GAUGAAGAACGUAGCGAAAUGCGAUAAGUAAUGUGAAUUGCAGAAUUCAGUGAAUCAUCGAAUCUUUGAACGCACAUUGCGCCCGCCAGUAUUCUGGCGGGCAUGCCUGUUCGAGCGUCAUUUCAACCAUCAAGCCCCCGGCUUGUGUUGGGGACCUGCGGCUGCCGCAGGCCCUGAAAACCAGUGGCGGGCUCGCUGUCACACCGAGCGUAGUAGAUUUUCAUCUCGCUCAGGGCGUGCUGCGGGUUCCGGCCGUAAAAAGCCUUAUUUACACAAGGUUGACCUCGGAUCAGGUAGGAAGACCCGCUGAACUUAAGCAUAUCAAUAAGCGGAGGA